RNAcentral lists this small RNA (28 nucleotides) under Bombyx mori (domestic silkworm). RNAcentral's name for it is "piRNA piR-bmo-2022436". Lineage: Eukaryota; Metazoa; Arthropoda; Insecta; Lepidoptera; Bombycidae. The record is from RNAcentral.
UGAUAAGUUGUUUUUCACAGGAGACGGU